GGGAGGCAGCAGUGGGGAAUCUUCCGCAAUGGACGAAAGUCUGACGGAGCGACGCCGCGUGAGUGAUGAGGGCCCUUGGGUCGUAAAGCUCUGUCAUUGGGGACGAACGACCGCCUCAGGAAAUGGGGGCGGAGUGACGGUACCCAAGAAGGAAGCCACGGCUAACUACGUGCCAGCAGCCGCGGUAAUACGUAGGUGGCAAGCGUUGUCCGGAAUUAUUGGGCGUAAAGCGCGCGCAGGUGGGAUCUUAAGUCCAUUUUGAAAGUUCGGAGCUCAACUCCGUGAUGGGAUGGAAACUGGGAUUCUUGAGUAUCGGAGAGGAAAGCGGAAUUCCCCGUGUAGCGGUGAAAUGCGUAGAUAUGGGGAGGAACACCAGUGGCGAAGGCGGCUUUCUGGACGAUGUCUGACACUGAGGCGCGAAAGCCAGGGGAGCGAACGGGAUUAGAUACCCCUGUAGUCCC
This 461-nucleotide ribosomal RNA is filed under the name uncultured bacterium. RNAcentral's name for it is "bacterial SSU rRNA". It matches the Rfam family "Bacterial small subunit ribosomal RNA", at positions 343 to 797 of the family's 1533-position model. The record is from RNAcentral.